AUUGAACGCUGGCGGCAUGCCUAACACAUGCAAGUCGAACGGGGGCAGCAAUGCCCUAGUGGCGGACGGGUGAGGAAUACGUAGGAACCGGCCCACGAGUGGGGGACAACCUGGGGAAACCCAGGCUAAUACCGCAUACGAUCUAUGGAUGAAAGCGGGGGACUCGUAAGAGCCUCGCGCGAUUGGAGCGGCCGAUAUCAGAUUAGGUAGUUGGUGGGGUAAAGGCUCACCAAGCCAACGAUCUGUAGCUGGUCUGAGAGGACGACCAGCCACACUGGAACUGAGACACGGUCCAGACUCCUACGGGAGGCAGCAGUGGGAAUUUGGACAAUGGACGCAAGUCUGAUCCAGCCAUUCCGCGUGCAGGAUG
Molecule: ribosomal RNA, 370 nt
Filed under: uncultured bacterium
Lineage: Bacteria
Description: bacterial SSU rRNA
Rfam family: Bacterial small subunit ribosomal RNA
Source: RNAcentral